AACGAACGCUGGCGGCAGGCUUAACACAUGCAAGUCGAACGCCCCGCAAGGGGAGUGGCAGACGGGUGAGUAACGCGUGGGAAUCUACCCAUCUCUGCGGAAUAGCUCUGGGAAACUGGAAUUAAUACCGCAUACGCCCUACGGGGGAAAGAUUUAUCGGGGAUGGAUGAGCCCGCGUUGGAUUAGCUAGUUGGUGGGGUAAAGGCCUACCAAGGCGACGAUCCAUAGCUGGUCUGAGAGGAUGAUCAGCCACAUUGGGACUGAGACACGGGCCAAACUCCUACGGGAGGCAGCAGUGGGGAAUAUUGGACAAUGGGCGCAAGCCUGAUCCAUCCAUGCCGCGUGAUUGAUGAAGGCCUUAGGGUUGUAAAGCUCUUUCACCGAUGAAGAUAAUGACGGUAGUCGGAGAAGAAGCCCCGGCUAACUUCGUGCCAGCCGCCGCGGUAA
RNAcentral lists this ribosomal RNA (447 nucleotides) under uncultured bacterium. RNAcentral's name for it is "partial 16S ribosomal RNA". It matches the Rfam family "Bacterial small subunit ribosomal RNA", at positions 29 to 523 of the family's 1533-position model. The record is from RNAcentral.